UAGGGAAUCUUCGGCAAUGGACGAAAGUCUGACCGAGCAACGCCGCGUGAGUGAAGAAGGUUUUCGGAUCGUAAAACUCUGUUGGUAGAGAAGAACGUUGGUGAGAGUGGAAAGCUCAUCAAGUGACGGUAACUACCCAGAAAGGGACGGCUAACUACGUGCCAGCAGCCGCGGUAAUACGUAGGUCCCCGAGCGUUGUCCGGAUUUAUUGGGCGUAAAGCGAGCGCAGGUGGUUUAUUAAGUCUGGUGUAAAAGGCAGUGGCUCAACCAUUGUAUGCAUUGGAAACUGGUAGACUUGAGUGCAGGAGAGGAGAGUGGAAUUCCAUGUGUAGCGGUGAAAUGCGUAGAUAUAUGGAGGAACACCGGUGGCGAAAGCGGCUCUCUGGCCUGUAACUGACACUGAGGCUCGAAAGCGUGGGGAGCAAACAGGAUUAGAUACCCUGGUAGUCCACGCCGUAAACGAUGAGUGCUAGAUGUAGGGAGCUAUAAGUUCUCUGUAUCGCAGCUAACGCAAUAAGCACUCCGCCUGGGGGAGUACGACUGC
Molecule: ribosomal RNA, 544 nt
Filed under: uncultured bacterium
Lineage: Bacteria
Description: partial 16S ribosomal RNA
Rfam family: Bacterial small subunit ribosomal RNA
Source: RNAcentral